This 107-nucleotide small nuclear RNA is filed under the name Cercocebus atys (sooty mangabey). The record is from RNAcentral. Lineage: Eukaryota; Metazoa; Chordata; Mammalia; Primates; Cercopithecidae.
GUACUCUCUUCAGCAGCACCUAUACUAAAUGGGAACGAGACAGAGACGGUUAGCAUGGCCCUUGGGCAAGGAUGACACACAAAACCAAAAAUAAGUUAAAAACAUAA